Molecule: small RNA, 72 nt
Filed under: Mytilus galloprovincialis (Mediterranean mussel)
Lineage: Eukaryota; Metazoa; Mollusca; Bivalvia; Mytilida; Mytilidae
Source: RNAcentral
GGUCCCAUGGGAUUAUUUGUUGUCCCAUGGGACAAAAAAAAUCCCAUGGGACUAUAAUUAUCCCAUGGGAUU